UUGUAAUCAUCUUUCAAUUAAUAUGAAUAAGGAGUUAAUUACACAAAUCUAAUCACUACAGUGGUAACGACCAAAGAAGUUAGGUAAUUCGAUUUAACCUAACUUCUUCCCUCUUUCACCCAAUUGCUCCCCGUCCGGCGAACUGCUGUCACCGAAUUUCGUGCGUUCUCCUGAAACAAAGCGCACUCACGAUUUAACAUGGUAUCUGCCGGUAGUAUCGGCCGUGUUUUCGCUAAUCAAGGAGAAGAAGAACUCAUUGUCGUCCAGAAUGAAGAAGAAAACCAAUCAGGGUCGUCGAGCUCUUCUCCAUCUUCUCCACCGUCAAUUAUGCAUUCUCCUCGCCGCAAGUCACGUUCGUCCUCCAAGCAUCGACGAAAGAGUCAUCAU
This 387-nucleotide long non-coding RNA is filed under the name Zostera marina. Its description in RNAcentral is "long non-coding RNA (ZMAR_LNC000790)". The record is from RNAcentral. Lineage: Eukaryota; Viridiplantae; Streptophyta; Magnoliopsida; Alismatales; Zosteraceae.